GUCUCCAGACAUACUAUUCUGAACACGUCCGAUCUCCUCUGAUCUCAGACACUAAGCAGGUUUGGGCCUGGUUAGUGCUUGGAUGGUGAUAGGAAAGAAUCCAUCACCUUGGGAAUA
RNAcentral lists this ribosomal RNA (117 nucleotides) under Mustela putorius furo (domestic ferret). The record is from RNAcentral. Lineage: Eukaryota; Metazoa; Chordata; Mammalia; Carnivora; Mustelidae.